CGCUGGCGGUGUGCUUCACACAUGCAAGUCGAACGAGGUAGCAAUACCUAGUGGCGACGGGUGAGUAACGCGUGGGAAUCUGCCUUUAGAUGGGGGAUAACGGGUCGAAAGACUCGCUAAUACCGCAUAUGACGAAAGUUGAAAGGAGUAAUCCGUCUAAAGAUGAGCCCGCGUCCGAUUAGCUAGUUGGUAGAGUAAAAGCCUACCAAGGCGACGAUCGGUAGCUGGUCUGAGAGGAUGAUCAGCCACAAUGGGACUGAGACACGGCCCAUACUCCUACGGGAGGCAGCAGUGGGAAUUUUACGCAAUGGGCGAAAGCCUGACGUAGCGACACCGCGUGAGCGAAGAAGCCCCUUGGGGUGUAAAGCUCUGUCAGCUGGAACGAAAAAAUGACGGUACCAGCAGAGGAAGCAUCGGCUAACUACGUG
Molecule: ribosomal RNA, 428 nt
Filed under: uncultured bacterium
Lineage: Bacteria
Description: bacterial SSU rRNA
Rfam family: Bacterial small subunit ribosomal RNA
Source: RNAcentral